UACAGAGGUGGCAAGCGUUGUUCGGAAUUACUGGGCGUAAAGGGCGCGUAGGCGGCCUUCUAAGUCAGACGUGAAAUCCCCCGGCUUAACCUGGGAACUGCGUCUGAUACUGGGAGGCUAGAGUAUGGGAGAGGGAUGUAGAAUUCCAGGUGUAGCGGUGAAAUGCGUAGAUAUCUGGAGGAACACCGGUGGCGAAGGCGGCAUCCUGGACCAACACUGACGCUGAGGAGCGAAAGCCAGGGGAGCAAACGGG
RNAcentral lists this ribosomal RNA (253 nucleotides) under uncultured bacterium. Its description in RNAcentral is "partial 16S ribosomal RNA". It matches the Rfam family "Bacterial small subunit ribosomal RNA", at positions 524 to 776 of the family's 1533-position model. The record is from RNAcentral.